AAUCAGAGUCUUGGUUCAGCAUCCAGGCGAUCCCGACUCCAGCGCAAAACUCGAGGACCCAAAGGGAUAUACAGAUCAUUCGCUUCUGGGAAUUUGAACAGCUAUCAAAAGCCCAGGACAGUGAAGAAAAACAAGUGUUAUGUUUUUUGCUGCUUCCUCAUAUCUUAGACAGUUUGUAUUUGUUACUAAUAUAUUGAAAUGUAGAUUUACUUUAGUAGGGAUGUAAUUUUUUGAGAUGCGCCAUGCUGUAAACUUAAUUUUAGAAAGGAGUUUUAGACUCUAUAGU
Long non-coding RNA from Gossypium arboreum, 286 nucleotides. RefSeq lists it as uncharacterized. The record is from RefSeq and is a predicted model, not a curated record. The transcript is spliced from 3 exons. NCBI's taxonomy places the organism in Eukaryota, Viridiplantae, Streptophyta, Magnoliopsida, Malvales, Malvaceae.